Molecule: ribosomal RNA, 450 nt
Filed under: uncultured bacterium
Lineage: Bacteria
Description: partial 16S ribosomal RNA
Rfam family: Bacterial small subunit ribosomal RNA
Source: RNAcentral
GUGGGGAAUCUUCCACAAUGGACGAAAGUCUGAUGGAGCAACGCCGCGUGAGUGAAGAAGGGUUUUGGCUCGUAAAGCUCUGUUGUCGGGGACGAAUGUGCAGUAUUUGAAUAAAGUAGUGUAAUGACGGUACCUGACGAGGAAGCCACGGCUAACUACGUGCCAGCAGCCGCGGUAAUACGUAGGUGGCAAGCGUUGUCCGGAAUUAUUGGGCGUAAAGGGAGCGCAGGCGGGAAGGUAAGUCGGUCUUAAAAGUGCGGGGCUCAACCCCGUGAUGGGAUCGAAACUAUCUUUCUUGAGUGCAGGAGAGGAAAGUGGAAUUCCUAGUGUAGCGGUGAAAUGCGUAGAUAUUAGGAGGAACACCAGUGGCGAAGGCGACUUUCUGGACUGUAACUGACGCUGAGGCUCGAAAGCCAGGGGAGCGAACGGGAUUAGAAACCCUAGUAGUCC